Molecule: small nuclear RNA, 319 nt
Filed under: Peromyscus maniculatus bairdii (prairie deer mouse)
Lineage: Eukaryota; Metazoa; Chordata; Mammalia; Rodentia; Cricetidae
Description: 7SK RNA (ENSPEMG00000003967.2)
Rfam family: 7SK RNA
About the family: 7SK was discovered as an abundant small nuclear RNA in the mid-70s but a possible function has only recently been suggested. Two independent studies have found that 7SK RNA binds the CDK9/cyclin T complex (known as elongation factor P-TEFb).
Source: RNAcentral
UCAUUGCCAACAAAACAUCUGUCACCCCAUUGAUUGCCAGGAUUGAUUUGGUUGACCCUGCAGGUUAGGCUGGUGUCAACUUCCUCUCUCCCCAUGCAUGUGUGUCCUUCCCAAAGCUGCAUGUUAGGUGAAAGAAGAUGCCCUUCCCUGAGAGAAAGACAUUUCUUCAGCCAACGGUGUAUGAGUAGCUGUCCUCCUGGCUAGAACUUCCAAAAUCGUCCUCAAGGAGCCCUUUUCCUCCUCCUCUCUCUGGGUGACUUGGCUGCCUGUCUCUGAGGCUGGUCACUUAGUCAUGGGAAGGUCGUGUGUGUUUUUUUUC